Molecule: ribosomal RNA, 429 nt
Filed under: uncultured eukaryote
Lineage: Eukaryota
Description: partial 18S ribosomal RNA
Rfam family: Eukaryotic small subunit ribosomal RNA
Source: RNAcentral
CAAUAGCGUAUAUUAAUGUUGUUGCAGUUAAAAAGCUCGUAGUUGGAUUUCUUUUAUUUAGAAUGGGUUUGGAUGCUGUAUAUAACUUAUGUUAAAUACCAUCUUCCUUUUAAAUAAAAUUAUUUAUAAUAUUUUGUAUGUGUUAAAUUUUUAUUAUUUUUAUUAAUGAUUGAGAUGAUUCCAUACAUUUAAAAUAUUAUAUCGUUUACUGUGAAAAAAUCAAAGCGUUCAAAGCAGGCUUUAGGCUCUCUGAAUGUCUCAGCAUGGAAUAAUAAGAUAAGUUUUUUCCUUAUUUUGUUGGUUUGCAAGGAAGAAAAAUGAUUAACAGGGACAGUUGGGGGUAUUUGUAUUCGAAUGUCAGAGGUGAAAUUCUUGGAUUUUUCGAAGACAAACCACUGCGAAAGCAUUUACCAAGGAUGUUUUCAUUAA